AUAUUGCACAAUGGGGGAAACCCUGAUGCAGCAACGCCGCGUGAGUGAUGAAGGCCUUCGGGUUGUAAAGCUCUGUCUUCUGGGACGAUAAUGACGGUACCAGAGGAGGAAGCCACGGCUAACUACGUGCCAGCAGCCGCGGUCAUACGUAGGUGGCAAGCGUUGUCCGGAUUUACUGGGCGUAAAGGAUGCGUAGGCGGAUACUUAAGUCAGAUGUGAAAAUCCCGGGCUUAACUUGGGAACUGCAUUUGAAACUGGGUAUCUAGAGUGCGGGAGAUNAAAGUGGAAUUCCUAGUGUGUCGGUGAAAUGCGUAGAGAUUAGGAAGAACACCAGUGGCGAAGGCGACUUUCUGGACCGUAACUGACGCUG
This 370-nucleotide ribosomal RNA is filed under the name uncultured bacterium. Its description in RNAcentral is "bacterial SSU rRNA". It matches the Rfam family "Bacterial small subunit ribosomal RNA", at positions 361 to 748 of the family's 1533-position model. The record is from RNAcentral.